Molecule: ribosomal RNA, 442 nt
Filed under: uncultured bacterium
Lineage: Bacteria
Description: partial 16S ribosomal RNA
Rfam family: Bacterial small subunit ribosomal RNA
Source: RNAcentral
CCUACGGGUGACAGCAGUGGGGGAUAUUGCACAAUGGGGGAAACCCUGAUGCAGCGACGCCGCGUGGGCGAAGAAGUAUUUCGGUAUGUAAAGCCCUAUCAGCAGGGAAGAAGAAAUGACGAUACCUGAGUAAGAAGCACCUUCUAAAUACGUGCCAGCAGCCGCGGUAAUACGUAGGGUGAAAGCGUUAUCCGGAUUUACUGGGUGUAAAGGUAGCGCAGGCGGAACGGCAAGCCGGAUGUGAAAGCCCGCGGCCCAACCGCGGGACUGCAGUGGGAACUACCGGGCUGGAGUGCAGGAGAGGUAGGCGGAAUUCCUAGUGUAGCGGUGAAAUGCGUAGAUAUUAGGAGGAACACCAGUGGCGAAGGCGGCUUACUGGACGGUGACUGACGUUGAGGCUCGAAAGCGUGGGGAGCAAACAGGAUUAGAUACCCCUGUAGUC